GCCUUCGUGGUGUAGUGGUCAGCACGACCGGUGCGUAACCGAGAGGUCCGUGGUUCGAUUCUCGUCGAAGGCG
Molecule: non-coding RNA, 73 nt
Organism: Stegodyphus mimosarum
Lineage: Eukaryota; Metazoa; Arthropoda; Arachnida; Araneae; Eresidae
Source: Rfam